RNAcentral lists this long non-coding RNA (488 nucleotides) under Ananas comosus (pineapple). RNAcentral describes it as "long non-coding RNA (ACOM_LNC035791)". The record is from RNAcentral. Lineage: Eukaryota; Viridiplantae; Streptophyta; Magnoliopsida; Poales; Bromeliaceae.
GAGAGAGAGAGUAAGGUUGCUGUGCAAUUAGGAGCAUGGAGGCCUCCGUACUCCUAAAUCGUUUUCAAUGAUAGAAUUUUCAAAUUGAUGAUACAUUUCAUUAGACUUGAUCUAAUAUAUUUGAAGUGUCAAGAAAAUAAAUUAUAUAAUUUUUCGAUAUUAUUUACUAAGUGAUUGAAUCUGUUCAAAAUCAACAGCUAAAAAUAAAAAUCUCACAAAAAGUAAUGAUAUAGACUAAAAUUUUUUAUUAGAAAUAUUGAUCUUGUUAUAAAAUGUAUGAAAAUUUUUCUGUUAAAAUUUCAUCUAAUUCGAUUUUUUUACCCUAUCAACUUGGGAACGAAAAACAUUAACCAUUGAAAGUUACUUAUAUUGAACGUACUGUUUCGACCAAUAAGUAAUGAUAUUGAAAAAGUAUAAAUUUUAUUUUAUAAAUAUUUCAAAUACGUUAAAUCAAGUUUUACAGAGCCGAUCGUCAAUUAGAAAAUUUU